GGUUGGGAAAGAUGAUUGCUACUGAUGUCAUCAAGCACCCAGACCUUUGGCUACAUCAGAAUGGAGACCCCUGCUGGCUUGAGCCACCGCUGUGCCCUGGUGUCUGGAAUCAGCCCAGCAUGCGAGGGCCUCAGUGAACGUGCCCCGGGUGCUUUUUGGGGAGUGUGGUCUUACUGGAACACUCUCCUGUCGAUUGAGCAGGCUGCUACCCUCUAGCCCCGGCCACUCUGUGGGGAGGAGAGCGCCUGCCCUUUGGCUGCAAGUUGGUACCCUGGCCGGGAUGGUAAUGAGAUCCAGAAACUUGAUGUCCUGUCUUCACUCCUGUCCUUAGACAAUGUUGUUUGUGUAGGGCACGGGACAGCCACCUAAGCCACGAAGCCUAAGACUCCCAAGUGAGGUUUCCUCUUCAGGGGUCUAAUGCGAUCCCCUCCACAACUCUGGACUAGCCACCUCUGGCCGCAACCGCUUCACUGGGAGACAGCA
Molecule: long non-coding RNA, 483 nt
Organism: Prionailurus viverrinus (fishing cat)
Lineage: Eukaryota; Metazoa; Chordata; Mammalia; Carnivora; Felidae
Exons: 3
Source: RefSeq, a predicted model, not a curated record